UUGUUGGAUUCGUCAAAGAAAUUUCUUAGUGCAGAGGAGCAUUAGUUUUUUCAGUUGAAGAAUAUACUCAUGGCACUUAUUAUUUAAUUUACUUGCUAGAGCUUAAGAUGUGCAGCACAACAUUAAUUUUGCGGUAAAAGAUUUCUAUGUAUCACUGAUUUUACACAUAUUUCAUUAACUUAGCACAUAAUGUUUCACUUUUCUCAUUUAAAUAUUGU
This 218-nucleotide long non-coding RNA is filed under the name Solanum tuberosum (potato). Its description in RNAcentral is "long non-coding RNA (STUB_LNC009309)". The record is from RNAcentral. Lineage: Eukaryota; Viridiplantae; Streptophyta; Magnoliopsida; Solanales; Solanaceae.